Molecule: ribosomal RNA, 253 nt
Filed under: uncultured bacterium
Lineage: Bacteria
Description: partial 16S ribosomal RNA
Rfam family: Bacterial small subunit ribosomal RNA
Source: RNAcentral
UACGUAGGUGGCGAGCGUUGUCCGGAUUUACUGGGCGUAAAGCGCUCGCAGGCUGACUGAUCAGUCUGGGGCGAAAUCUCACGGCUCAACUGUGAGCGGUCCCUGGAUACUGUCAGCCUUGAGAUGUCUAGAGGAGAGCGGAAUUCCCGGUGUAGAGGUGAAAUUCGUAGAUAUCGGGAGGAACACCGGUGGCGAAGGCGGCAUCCUGGACCAAUAUUGACGCUGAGGAGCGAAAGCCAGGGGAGCAAACGGG